Molecule: unclassified non-coding RNA, 319 nt
Filed under: Zea mays
Lineage: Eukaryota; Viridiplantae; Streptophyta; Magnoliopsida; Poales; Poaceae
Description: misc RNA Zm00001eb118190
Source: RNAcentral
CGAAGCCGAGCUCGCGCGGGAGGGUGGGGAGCGGCAGCGACGGCAGGACCUCGGAGUGGACGGUGUUGGGCAGCCGGCACGCCCGCUCGAAGCCCGCCCGGCCCCCGGCCCCAGCCCCGCCGGCGUCGGGGUCCAUGGGCAAAACCCUAGAUGCGCGGGAGGGCUGAGGGCUCCAAUUCGCACCGGAAUUCGAUUGUUGGGGAGGACUGGAGGAGGGGCUGCUUUGAUUGAGUUGAUUUCAAAGUGUGGAGAGGUGGUGGUGAAUGAAUCGAGGGUGGUGGGCUGCUUUGAUUUGAUUUCAAUUUCGAAGGGUGGAGAG